GGAGGACAAAUGCUGGAUAUAUAUAUAUAUAGAGAGAGAGAGAAAGAGAGAGAGAGAGAGGAGAGAGAGAGAGUCCGGCUACUAUACUAUCGAUAGUACCAAGCGCUUUGUACUAUCGAGUUUUCUGUCGUUAGAUCUACCAUUUGACCAUUUUCAUCCGUUAGAUUAUACUAUUCAACCAACCACCUACUCAAUUCUAGAGAACCACUAUCAUCUUAAUUGCACAUCUUUUCAUCCAACGGCCGAAAACUCGAUAGCACUAAGCAUUUGGUACUAUUUAUAGUAUAGUAGCAUAAUUCUCUCUCUCUAUAUAUUGCAGGGCUAUUGUGCUAUUAGAAGUACUGCAGCGCCAGUGUGCUCCUAACUUUCUAACAUCCAUCAAUUUUGAUGGGUGAUUAGGGUGAGAGAGAAAAAAAAAAAUUGAAGAGAAAUUGGGUUUCUCAAUUUCUCUUUUU
This 455-nucleotide long non-coding RNA is filed under the name Ananas comosus (pineapple). Its description in RNAcentral is "long non-coding RNA (ACOM_LNC001299)". Lineage: Eukaryota; Viridiplantae; Streptophyta; Magnoliopsida; Poales; Bromeliaceae. The record is from RNAcentral.